AGACAUUUGAACCACAGACUUGCAAAGCGAGAAGGGUGGAGCUCUUUGUUCCGGUUCCGAUCUCUUCCUUUUACACAUAUGGAUCCGGAACUUAAUCAAGCAUCUGACAAUUACGCAAGACAUCAGUUCUGGGUUACCCGGGAUUAGACAACGUUUGGCAACUGAACGUGGCCCAGGUGAGAGAUGCACCCUCUGUGGUGAGGUUACCCUGUGGUGAGAAGGUUCCAGAGUGAAGUGGAGGGAUCCAUGCGAUGCAGGCUGAGGGCCACGUGGGCUCCAGGGACGCCCAUCCUGGUGUUCAGGACGUGAGUGGUCAGGGGGCAGUAUGGAGCUGCCAUCUCUGCACUCUACAGCGCAUACACCGACAGCAUAAUCCCCUGUGCUCAGCAGAACACCAUGAGCUAACAGAUCUGGCGGCCAACAGAAGUUCUGUGAUCAGGCAGGGAGGAGAGACAAAGUGAGCAAUCGGGAGAGAGAGAACAGCGCCACGGUCCCCAGCACAGAUGAGGGGCUCUGUGUCCUAAUGGGGAACUCGAGCGGAAGAAAAUAACAACUAUUUGCCAAACUCUCACAGCAGGAAAACUAAGACAGACUGACUCACUAACUCUCUUUCUCCCUCUUUUCCUCUAUCAUUUUCUCUCCCUGCAGCAAUGUUCUAGUUGGUAAUCUGUCAUUUAGCACUGGGAGGAGAGAGAGAGAGUCAAGACAGAAAACAAUUGCCAUUUCCUCUUCUAUUAUCCAACCCAUCUUCUGUUAUUAGAGUGGCUAAACUCUUCAACCAAGUCUGAGACAAGCAGACAGACAUGUCAGGUAUUAGUGCCUUUCUGCAGUUUGAAAACAUAGGAGACCAUACUGUGCAUUACAGUAUCAUCAUCCUUUUAGCCAAGCACUUCGGAGAGGCAUUGUGAUUGUAACACUACCUGCCUGGUGAAAAGACUGAUUCCCGGCUCCAGAAUGGUUACCAUGACCAAAAUGACUGCUGGGAGACCAUAAAUCAGUGCUAUUCCCCUAGUGGGGUUGUGGGGGUACUUCAAUGGGGUAGCCAAUUUUUUAAUAUAUUUUUAAUGCAAUGAAUUGAAGGUUAUUUAUUGAUGUAAAAUUCGAAAUGUACCAAUUUUAAGGUCUUAAGGUUUAAGGUUAGAUUUGGCGUGGGAUCACUAUAAUAUUUGGGGGGAAAGAAAUGGGGUCCCCAGAAAUUCUGGCAGAAAAAUGGGGUCACCGCUGAAAAAGUUUGAAUACCACUAGACAUAAACAGUAUCUAUUAGAACCACAGCACAUCUCUCGACCAUAAUGUUGAGCGAUUAGUGCUUUUUUGAGUUUCGGUUCGAUUCUAAAAAAAAAUCAAAUUUUUUCAUUUCGGUUUCAAAUGACUUUUAAAAAUUAAUUACACUGCGUUAUGUGGGUUGAAUGCUCUAACAACAGAUAAUAAAACAAGUCCCAUGAUGGUAGUACAUGACAAUUACUACUUAUCAUUCAUUCACUUUACUUACAUAAAAUAUUUUAGUUGUGUAUAUUACAUUUGUUUUAUUUGAUGACUUUAUUAUUUCAUUCCAAGUCAUCCUCUCAUCUCUAUAGAGCUGUUUCCUAUGCUGUCUGACAAAAUCACUAUUUUGGAUUUUAUUUUUUUCCCAAAGUAAAUAAGGCAUAUACUUUUACAACGGCUGAAUACCAACUAUCAAUCCCUUAUAUCAUGUAUUUUCAGAAAGAGAUACCUAGUAAGAUGUUGGUUUAUUACUCAGCACUACUCAUACAGCAACACAACCACCUGGAGUAAACUAAUCACACUCUGGAUUGUCUCUUUAAUGACAUAAUGGUCUCUGGAAUGGAAGCUUUGUUGCAUAGACAAAGCAAGGUGCCCCUGCACACAAGAAGCUUCCAUUCCCCCUGUCGCAAGGUAUUUAUAGCUCUAUAGAGCUGCUGCCUAUGCUGUCCGACAAAAUCACUAUUUUAGUAGUUCUUCAAAGUUAAUAAGGCAUCAUUUUAUGACUGCUGAAUACUAAAUAUCAAUCACUUAGAUCAUGUAUUUUCAGAUAGAGAUACCUCGUGAAGCAACUGCUCUCUAUCUCUCUCGACCAUGCAUCUGUGCGCUCACGCAUAGAUUGGACAAGUAGGCGAGCAAGGGAUUGUGGUCAUUGUAGUUAAUUACCACGUUUUCAGCACCAAACUAGUAGAAUAUUGGCCUGUUGGAAACUCCAACUCCCUACUACAUUGCACAGUUCGAUCUGAUUUAUUUAUAGAGAAAAUGAGCUUUGAGCUCACAGAAAAAAAUGAAUAAAAUGGAAUUAUAAUAACUGAACCAACAUUGGUCAAUAAGUUGUUUAUAAAACAAAAAAUAACUGACAUUUCUGUUAAUCGCUCAGCAAUACUCAACCAGCAACAGAACCACCUUAAUAAGUAAACCAAUCACACACUGGUUCUCUUUAAUUACAUAAUGGUCUCUGAGUUUGUGAGUGGAAACAUGUAUUUGAGAGAGAGAGAGGGGUAGCUUAGUGAAGGGUAGUGUGUGUGUGUGUGUGUGUGUGUGUGUGUGUGUGUGUGUGUGUGUGUGUGUGUGUGUGUGUGUGUGUGUGUGUGUGUGUGUGUGUGUGUGUGUGUGUGUGUGUGUGUGUGUGUGUGUGUGUGUGUGUGUGUGUGUGUGUGUGUGUGUGUGUGUGUGUGUGUGUGUGUGUGUGUGUGUGUGUGUGUGUGUGUGCAGGGACAGCCAAAUGGACAGCGGGGUCACUAGAGGCUAAUUUAUUUAUUUUCAUAAUUUCUCGAGUGCCCCGGCAAUCCAUUAGACAUGGCUGGAUACAAAUCAUCUCACCUUGCUGGUCGCAUAGCGUGUGCAUGUGUGUGCGAGCGCAGAUGUGGAGGUGCUGUCUGUGGUAAGCAUUGAUACUUCCCCCUGUCAACAUACAGCGUAUACUCACACAUCCCUACAUACACUAUAUGUUGAUAUAAACAGGAUGCCAUGAUCAUCAAUCCUUUUGAUCAGGAAACUGGCCUCAUGAGUAUGUGCUCAUUGCUCUUAGGGGAUUAGCCUAGGGAGGAACAUGCACCCUCAUCUACUCUCUCCACACUAACAGCCAAGUCAUCCCAUGGCAUAAGGACACAACCUUACUUACUCUCACUCCAACUCCACCAGAAACAAACACUCUCAUAAAUAUCCUCCCCUCCUCCCCCCUCUCAUUCUGUCCCAGUAGUUUGGCGUCAUCAGUGUAAUGGUGUGUGUCAAGUGUUCAUAUAGAUCUGUGUUUGACGAGCCCCGGAGAAGAGUGAGCACAGUCCCAUGUCAUCCACAGGAUGGAUUGCAGCUCACAAAACAAAUGCACACACGAACGCACACAUGCUUUCUCACGUUCUUCCCCCUUUCCCCUUCCUUUUCCUUUUCUUUGUCACAUUCUGACCUCAUUUGUUUUGUUAUUGUCUUUGUUUUAGUAUGGUCAGGGCGUGAGUUGGGUGGGUUGUCUAUGUUAGUUUUUCUAUGAUUUGUUAUUUCUGUGUUUGGCCUGGUAUGGUUCUCAAUCAGAGGCAGCUGUCAAUCGUUGUCCCUGAUUGAGAACCAUACUUAGGCAGCCUGGUUUCACUUUUGAGUUGUGGGUGAUUGUUUUCUGUUUUGUGUCUGCACCAGACAGGACUGUUUCGUUUCGUUCAUUCUCCUUUGUUAUUGUGUUUAGCGUUCUCGUGAUAAUAAAUUAUCAAUAUGGA
Molecule: long non-coding RNA, 3687 nt
Organism: Oncorhynchus keta (chum salmon)
Lineage: Eukaryota; Metazoa; Chordata; Actinopteri; Salmoniformes; Salmonidae
Exons: 3
Source: RefSeq, a predicted model, not a curated record